RNAcentral lists this ribosomal RNA (497 nucleotides) under uncultured bacterium. RNAcentral describes it as "partial 16S ribosomal RNA". It matches the Rfam family "Bacterial small subunit ribosomal RNA", at positions 28 to 507 of the family's 1533-position model. The record is from RNAcentral.
GACGAACGCUGGCGGCGUGCCUAAUACAUGCAAGUAGAACGCUGAAGAGAGGAGCUUACUCUUCUUGGAUGAGUUGCGAACGGGUGAGUAACGCGUAGGUAACCUGCCUUGUAGCGGGGGAUAACUAUUGGAAACGAUAGCUAAUACCGCAUAACAAUGGAUGACACAUGUCAUUUAUUUGAAAGGGGCAAUUGCUCCACUACAAGAUGGACCUGCGUUGUAUUAGCUAGUAGGUGAGGUAAUGGCUCACCUAGGCGACGAUACAUAGCCGACCUGAGAGGGUGAUCGGCCACACUGGGACUGAGACACGGCCCAGACUCCUACGGGAGGCAGCAGUAGGGAAUCUUCGGCAAUGGGGGCAACCCUGACCGAGCAACGCCGCGUGAGUGAAGAAGGGUGUCGGAUCGUAAAGCUCUGUUGUAAGUCAAGAACGGGUGUGGGAGUGGAAAGUUCACACUGUGACGGUAGCUUACCAGAAAGGGACGGCUAACUACGUG